RNAcentral lists this ribosomal RNA (520 nucleotides) under uncultured Veillonellaceae bacterium. RNAcentral's name for it is "bacterial SSU rRNA". It matches the Rfam family "Bacterial small subunit ribosomal RNA", at positions 37 to 523 of the family's 1533-position model. The record is from RNAcentral. Lineage: Bacteria; Bacillati; Bacillota; Negativicutes; Veillonellales; Veillonellaceae.
UGGCGGCGUGCUUAACACAUGCAAGUCGAACGGGAAGACAUGAAGAGCUUGCUCUUUAUGAAAUCCAGUGGCAAACGGGUGAGUAACACGUAAACAACCUGCCUUCAGGAUGGGGACAACAGACGGAAACGACUGCUAAUACCGAAUACGAUUCUUGAGUCGCAUGACACAAGAAAGAAAGGGUGGCCUCUACAAGUAAGCUAUCGCCUGAAGAGGGGUUUGCGUCCGAUUAGGUAGUUGGUGAGGUAACGGCCCACCAAGCCGACGAUCGGUAGCCGGUCUGAGAGGAUGAACGGCCACAUUGGAACUGAGACACGGUCCAGACUCCUACGGGAGGCAGCAGUGGGGAAUCUUCCGCAAUGGGCGAAAGCCUGACGGAGCAACGCCGCGUGAGUGAAGACGGCCUUCGGGUUGUAAAACUCUGUGAUUCGGGACGAAAGAUAAGUAGACGAAUAAUCUGCAUAAGUGACGGUACCGAAAAAGCAAGCCACGGCUAACUACGUGCCAGCCGCCGCGGUAA